This is a long non-coding RNA of Bactrocera neohumeralis, 1124 nucleotides long. RefSeq lists it as uncharacterized. NCBI's taxonomy places the organism in Eukaryota, Metazoa, Arthropoda, Insecta, Diptera, Tephritidae. The record is from RefSeq and is a predicted model, not a curated record. The transcript is spliced from 4 exons.
UUGCGUCUGAAAUAUGCAAUUUACUUAAAAAUGGUAUAAACAUAAGUGGAAAGAUAUUUCAAAUCAAAAUCAGAGCGUUCAUAUGUGAUUCACCCGCAAAGGCAUUUUUAUGUCAGACUAUGGGACAUAAUGCAUUAGAAGGUUGUACUAGAUGUUGCCAGCAAGGAGAACGCAUAAACAACAGAACAGUUUACAGCACAUCAAAGGCAUUACCACGCACUGACGAAGGUUUUUCAUUACGAACAAGUGAAAUUUGCCAAAAGCCAACGAACAUUUUAGAGCAAAUAAAAAACAAAGAUCAAAACUCUGAACUUAUUAGGAAAAAUAAAUUUAGUGGUUCAAAAAUUAAUAGAUUUGGUGACAUUACAUCUUUUGUUUCUAAUUGUAUCACUCUAAAAGCCAAACCACCUGACAAUAUUUGUUUUGCUAAUGAUAGUCCUUUCCAAAUUUUUCGAUUUUCGAAUGAAGAAAAUGAGGUUUUCAUUAUAGGCAGAAGGUUUACAAAUUGUAAAGCAUAUUUCGAAAAACCUUUGAAUUCGCUAACAGAUUUAGGAAUUUUUACUGCGAACAAAACUCCCACUGCAAACGAAGAAACGUUUAAUAUAAAGCAGGUUAACUACAAACUUUUUUACUUUCCAAUUAAUGCCAACGAAUAUUUAUUCAUUCUUAUACUGCAUUCAAUUUAAGUAAAUGUCGAUACACAAAGAUGUCACAAAACUUAUUUACUUCAACUCCGGUAUUCAGAUGCAAUGCUACAUUAAGCGAUGAAAACAUUAGUCCAGUUCCGGAAAAUACUCAAAAUGAACUAAAUAAAAUCAAGCAAAAAAUAGACGAACUUAUAACAAAAUUGGAUGGAGCUGGCAAAAUCUAUUGCAACCUUAAUAAGCAGCCAGGCACAGAACAAUUCGAUGAUGAAGCAAGUGCUUAAUAAAGUGGAGAAGAAAACAAGAUUCCCAGUUUGCGACGUAAUGCAACUCACGGAAAUUGAAGAUGAUGUUUCCAAAAAUAAAGAUAUAUACGUGUCUAUUAUAAAAAACAUUAUUGGAUCAAUUGGAGUUACAAACGGAAUGAAAAAAAUUCUCAGCGAUAGCUUCAUGGUGCAGUUAAAUUAUGAUGGACUGCAA